GAGUUUGAUCAUGGUCAGAUUGAACGCUGGCGGCAUGCCUUACACAUGCAAGUCGAACGGCAGCAUGAUCUAGCUUGCUAGAUUGAUGGCGAGUGGCGAACGGGUGAGUAAUACAUCGGAACGUGCCCUGUAGUGGGGAUAACUAGUCGAAAGAUUAGCUAAUACCGCAUACGACCUGAGGGUGAAAGUGGGGGACCGCAAGGCCUCAUGCUAUAGGAGCGGCCGAUGUCUGAUUAGCUAGUUGGUGGGUAAAGGCCCACCAAGGCGACGAUCAGUAGCUGGUCUGAGAGGACGAUCAGCCACGCUGGGACUGAGACACGGCCCAGACUCCUACGGGAGGCAGCAGUGGGGAAUUUUGGACAAUGGGCGAAAGCCUGAUCCAGCAAUGCCGCGUGUGUGAAGAAGGCCUUCGGUGUAAG
RNAcentral lists this ribosomal RNA (419 nucleotides) under uncultured microorganism. RNAcentral describes it as "bacterial SSU rRNA". It matches the Rfam family "Bacterial small subunit ribosomal RNA", at positions 9 to 429 of the family's 1533-position model. The record is from RNAcentral.